AAAUAGACAAACAAUAGGUUUUCAUAUCUAAUAUUUGACCGUCCGUCUUAUUUAAAAAAAUUAUGAAAAAAAUUAAAAAGAUAAGUCACGCAUAAAGUAUUAAUCAUGUUUUAUCAUCUAGCAACAAUGAAAAUACUAAUUAUAAAAAAAAUCCAUAUAAGACGGACAGUCAAACGUUGGACACAAAAACAUAGGGUUUAUCUUUUU
This is a non-coding RNA of Oryza meridionalis, 207 nucleotides long. NCBI's taxonomy places the organism in Eukaryota, Viridiplantae, Streptophyta, Magnoliopsida, Poales, Poaceae. The record is from Rfam.